Molecule: long non-coding RNA, 432 nt
Filed under: Cyanistes caeruleus (blue tit)
Lineage: Eukaryota; Metazoa; Chordata; Aves; Passeriformes; Paridae
Description: lncRNA (ENSCCEG00000017253.1)
Source: RNAcentral
AGGUUUCAGACAUGCAGAUUGUCACUGCUGCUUAUUAUGUGAGCAAGGACCUAAUUAUGAUUUCACAAUUUGUUUACUGUAUGCUCAGGAGUCAGAAGGUAACAAAAUAGGGAUCCAAAAAUAGAGUGUACAAAUCCUGGAGUUCUGAGACCUGUAGCCUCCAGUUUUCCCUUCCUUCUCAUUUCUGACCCACACACAUCUGUGAAUAUUUUCUAUGGAGUACUUUCAGUUGAUAUAGACAUAAAAAAUGCAAUAGGCAUUUGGGAUCUGGUUCCAUAUUUUAACUGAUUCCAUGGUUUUUGUGGAAAUAUGUGGGAGUUGAAACCAAGCCUCAUUUCUUUGUGGGGUUCAGUUGGUUUCCUCCCCGUUGAUUGAAAGUGGGCUUUAUUUGCUUAUAGCAUAAAAUAUGUUGACAUCUUCAUGUGUUCUGUU